This 76-nucleotide transfer RNA is filed under the name Cricetulus griseus (Chinese hamster). It matches the Rfam family "tRNA". From Rfam's summary of the family: Transfer RNA (tRNA) molecules are approximately 80 nucleotides in length. Their secondary structure includes four short double-helical elements and three loops (D, anti-codon, and T loops). The record is from Rfam by way of RNAcentral. Lineage: Eukaryota; Metazoa; Chordata; Mammalia; Rodentia; Cricetidae.
AGGGAUGUAGCUCAGCCGGUAGACCGCUUUUUUUUCCGCAUAUAUGAGGUCCCGGGUUCGAGUCCUGGCAUCUCCA